RNAcentral lists this ribosomal RNA (584 nucleotides) under uncultured Symbiodinium. Its description in RNAcentral is "partial Bacterial large subunit ribosomal RNA". It matches the Rfam family "Bacterial large subunit ribosomal RNA", at positions 550 to 1129 of the family's 2925-position model. The record is from RNAcentral. Lineage: Eukaryota; Dinophyceae; Suessiales; Symbiodiniaceae.
CUGAAACCGUGCGCUUACAAGCGGUCGGAGCCCUUUAGUGGGGUGACGGCGUGCCUUUUGCAUAAUGAGCCUACGAGUUGUCGUUGUUGGCAAGGUUAACCCGUUCAGCGGGGUAGCCGGAGCGAAAGCGAGUCUUAACAGGGCGUGUAGUCAGCAGUGGCAGACGCGAAACUUGGUGAUCUACCCAUGGGCAGGGUGAAGCUCCGUUAAACCGGAGUGGAGGCCCGAACCAGUAAACGUUGAAAAGUUUUUGGAUGACCUGUGGGUAGGGGUGAAAGGCCAAUCAAACUGGGAAAUAGCUCGUACUCCCCGAAAUGCAUUUAGGUGCAGCGUCGUGGUAGAGUGUUAUAGAGGUAGAGCUACUGAUAGGGCUAGGGGGCUUCACCGCCUACCAAACCCUGACAAACUCCGAAUGCUAUAACAUAUACACGGCAGUGAGGGCAUGGGUGCUAAGGUCCAUGUCCGAGAGGGAAAGAACCCAGAUCAUCAGCUAAGGCCCCCAAAUGUAUGUUAAGUUGAUCAAACGUUGUGCGAUUGCAUAGACAGCUAGGAUGUUGGCUUGGAAGCAGCCAUUCAUUUAAAGA